Molecule: ribosomal RNA, 253 nt
Filed under: uncultured bacterium
Lineage: Bacteria
Description: partial 16S ribosomal RNA
Rfam family: Bacterial small subunit ribosomal RNA
Source: RNAcentral
UACGUAGGGUGCGAGCGUUAAUCGGAAUUACUGGGCGUAAAGCGUGCGCAGGCGGUUUUGUAAGCCAGGUGUGAAAUCCCCGGGCUCAACCUGGGAAUGGCAUUUGGGACUGCAAGGCUGGAGUGUGGCAGAGGAGACUGGAAUUCCUGGUGUAGCAGUGAAAUGCGUAGAUAUCAGGAGGAACACCUGCGGUGUAGACGGCUUUCUGGACCAUAACUGACGCUGAGAUACGAAAGCGUGGGUAGCAAACAGG